Molecule: ribosomal RNA, 602 nt
Filed under: Rhodococcus sp. CMT5
Lineage: Bacteria; Bacillati; Actinomycetota; Actinomycetes; Mycobacteriales; Nocardiaceae
Description: bacterial SSU rRNA
Rfam family: Bacterial small subunit ribosomal RNA
Source: RNAcentral
AGGCGACGACGGGUAGCCGGCCUGAGAGGGCGACCGGCCACACUGGGACUGAGACACGGCCAGACUCCUACGGGAGGCAGCAGUGGGGAAUAUUGCACAAUGGGCGCAAGCCUGAUGCAGCGACGCCGCGUGAGGGAUGACGGCCUUCGGGUUGUAAACCUCUUUCAGCAGGGACGAAGCGUGAGUGACGGUACCUGCAGAAGAAGCACCGGCCAACUACGUGCCAGCAGCCGCGGUAAUACGUAGGGUGCAAGCGUUGUCCGGAAUUACUGGGCGUAAAGAGCUCGUAGGCGGUUUGUCGCGUCGUCUGUGAAAACCAGCAGCUCAACUGUUGGCUUGCAGGCGAUACGGGCAGACUUGAGUAUUUCAGGGGAGACUGGAAUUCCUGGUGUAGCGGUGAAAUGCGCAGAUAUCAGGAGGAACACCGGUGGCGAAGGCGGGUCUCUGGGAAAUAACUGACGCUGAGGAGCGAAAGCGUGGGUAGCGAACAGGAUUAGAUACCCUGGUAGUCCACGCCGUAAACGGUGGGCGCUAGGUGUGGGUUUCCUUCCACGGGAUCCGUGCCGUAGCUAACGCAUUAAGCGCCCCGCUGGCAAGUACGG